Hordeum vulgare subsp. vulgare (domesticated barley) is the source of this 3587-nucleotide RNA transcript. RefSeq lists it as uncharacterized. The transcript has 6 exons. The record is from RefSeq and is a predicted model, not a curated record. Lineage: Eukaryota; Viridiplantae; Streptophyta; Magnoliopsida; Poales; Poaceae.
UGCUGCAUUCAACGUAUAGAACUCCUAAAGAGUGAAAAUAAGGAUUUGAAAGAUUUUAUACGGGUCUUGGAGCUGGAGAACGAGGAGCUUAAGAUAAGAGUGAAGGAAGUUGAAGGUGGUGCAGGGCAUUGCCAAAACGCUGCAGGCCAUGAGCACAUUGCAGGAGAUCUAGAAGCAGUGCUAAGACAAUUGAACCAAGCUCAUGAGGCACUGAUUGCAGGGAAGGAUAAGGAAAUUUCAGCACUGAUUGCAGAGAAGGACCUCGUGCAAGAGCGGUUUAGGACACUGGAGCGGGGCUAUGCUGACCUUCGUAGCUACAGCAGUAAAUGGGCAGCACAAGUGACUGAAACAAAGCAAGAGCAUAAGCAGCUGCAAGUGGCAUCCCAAAAGAAGGACGAUGAGAUUCGCCGAUUGCGUGCACGAGCAAAAGCAGUUGAAGCCAAAAUGAAAUUGCUUCCAGAGGAUAAGCGACAGGAGAUGACCUGUAUGCCCGAGGAGACAGAUCAGUGUUUUUAGUCAUAUUACCUAGAAAACAAUUUGUCCAUUCGUUCUUCAGUCUGUUUUUUUUCAACUAUAUGAUCUCAUUCCAUAAUUUGUAGGCAUCGGUGAGCGACAUGGAUGAUGCACGUGAACAGAUUGGCACUGCCAUCUCCACUACACUGAAGGAGAUCAAGCCUAUUUCCAUCAGCAUCAAGUGGAACCUUCCCUUGACAUACAUCCUUCUCCUUUCUUUUUUCUCUCCCGAGGUAAGUUGGCAUGCUCCAUGUUCGUGCAUAAGGACGAUGAGAUGGAUAUGUGUUCGGUGUUAUUGAUUUUGAGGAACUGCUCAUUUGUCAGCCUGUCAAACCAGAUGAGCUUGAGAGGAACUAAGAGAAAUGACUAUUCAUUUACCACUUGUGUCAUCCGAUCCUCUCUAUUGUCAAUUUGCCAUUCGAGUGAUCCUUGAAUGUAUUAGUAGACAAAAUGACAUGUUUUUUUAUCAGCUAUGAUAUGUGUUUCCACUGGAUACUUGUCGCUUUUCGAUGGGCAUAUUUUAGCUUGAGAAUAUUUUUGCGAAAACAUAGCGGUGCUUUUGCUAUGAUGGAAAUUCAGAAUAGGGUGUAGAUUGAUACACGUAGGAAUUUGUGACUGAGUUUUAUGCUCAGGGCUGGAUACCUGCUCUCCGCUCUUCACCUAUCCUAUAACUCAUUUCAUCUUUCGUGUUGUCAUAAUGUGUCCAUUAGACUGUAUUCUAGCUGAAAGUUUUAGAGUUGUCAAUUAUUUUUGAAACUUGGUUCGCAUAGUAGCUGGUCCUUUUUUGGGACAUAUUUGUUGUGUCUUUUCCCCCAUUUAGUCUUGUAUUUUGUCGUACAUAGUUCAAUUAGCUUCAAGUGCAACAUAGGACCGAGUAUGAUAGCCCACUCGAUGGUCUUAUAUUCUUCAAGCAAGGAUGAAAGAAGUUCCUCACUUAUUUCAGACUGUAUGUAGUCUACAUUGAAAUAUUAAAACACAUAUUAUAUUUGUGAAUGUAGAGAGUAUUUUCAUGUUCUCAUGCUAUUGAUUGCCAAGUGCAUCCAUUGCACUUUGGAGUACCGUGGUCAUGUUCUGUUUUGAAUGCUUGCUACUGAUUGCUUGUGAAUGGUGUUGGAGCUGGCCGAGCAGGCCCCUGGAGGUUGGAGGAGGCCUUGGGGAAUGGGGAUGGUGAGCGGCCAGCUUUCGGCAGAACCCCACUACCAUCUCCCAUAUCCUGCCGCUGGCGAGGCGGACCAUGGAGAGCGCGAGGAAGAUUUGGUCAUUUGCCAGAUGUGCCGAUGGGCGUCUCAUGAACAAACAAUUGGAGGCUUUGCAGAAGAAGAGCACGGAGAACACCCCUCUUCCUUUACAACUAAAAUUGAAUUUACAGGUGAUCGAUUCAUGAAGUUUAAGUGUUUAUCAAAUUGAAUGCAAGGGUGAUUAGGAUUUUACAUGAUUCUAUUUGCUUAGUGUCAUAACAUUUAAACUAUCGAUGAUCUUCUUGAAUGUUAAUUGUUAUUCCUUUCAGCUAAGAAGUUGUUACUUUUAAUUUGUUUUGGACAAAGGAACCUACCACUUUGAUGUGUUAGUAUUAGAAUGAAAAUUACUUGCAAUUUCAGUUUGCAUCUACACUUUGAUGCUUAUGCUUUUGAAGUACAUAUCAUUGCACAAUUGUUAACGUAUGAUUCAUAUAGAACUUGAUGAAUUCGAGAGUUAUACUUUCAUGAUUUCAUAAGAUAUUUAACUCAAAAUUCCGGUUUCUAUUUGACGAGCAAGCUGUCUUAGAAAAUCGACAGCUGAAGGCAUGCAUCGCUGAAGUAAGUGGAGGAUGCCUCAAAAGAGUGUGGUGACUGCUUUGAAAAGGCAUCACGUCCUAACAUAAACGAAGAGGAGAAAAGGAAGAUCCUUCAUAUUGUGAUUAUUAGUGGUGGAUCCACUCGAGUUGAAUUUGGUGGAGAGCUGCAUGUUUUUCUUGUCGAAGUAAUGGUGAAGCUAUAUCCUGCAAUUGAAGAUUUUUUUUAAGAUAAGAAUUAUUCAGCCAGGACAGCAUAUAUUGAAUAUGUAGGUAAAUGAAUGUAUUUGAAGGUGAGCUUCCAUGCACAGAUAAUGAGGUUGUACUGCUGGUUCACAUAUAGGAGACUAGAACAUGCAUGUUGCAGGUAGUGAGCUCCGAGCUAAUCAUCUCCUGGGAUAAUUCUUAAAUACUGUGAGAAAAAGUGAACAAUUUGGAACAUUUUGUAUUAUUAGGAAAAUAGUUUAGUCAUCAGAAGUGGAACAUAUAUCCUGAUCAUUGAUUUCUUACGAGGAUAGAUUGAAGAAUACCACCUUACCUCCAUGCUCCAAACAAUGCCAGCGUAGGAUUAAUUCUAAACAAAUAUUAUCAAUAUUUUUUGAAUUGUGGCAGUUUCUUCCCUGUUCUCCCCCCCUUUGCUUUCCUUUUUAAAUGAAUGUUCCCAACUUCUAUGAAACUAUCAUGUUUACUGUAGACAUUGCAAUUAUGUUGGGAAUACGACGUUUUGUUGAUUUGACAAGGAAUUUUUUCCUACUGUUUCAAUAUACAUGCCCCCCGUUGUAGCAUCAGUAGAUCUUCUCUUUUCUCCGUGUGUACUGUGAGAUGAUAUAUCUAUUUUCUAUGAAAGAUAAUUGUGUUUUUUGAAACAAAGUUGCAAAGAGAUGGCAUCGAGUUGAGUAUGGAUUUAGAGUGAUAAAGUUUUCUGAUGAUUCGGUUGCAGUGAAGUGCAAAUCAGAUGGUGGAGGAUCAUUGGUGUCGUAUGUGAUGGAUGUUUGGUCUACUGGCAUAGGUUCUCAGAAAAAAUCAACAACUGAAGGAGAGUGUUUUAAUUCCUAUAAUCAACGGCUACAAGGGGAGUAUUGAUUUUAGGUUGAAAAUGCGGCUUGGAGCCUGUCUCUAAAGUCUUGCUGGCUUUUUCGAACAUCCAAGCAAGAAACAGGGCAGCAAUCAGAGCAUUUGGUACUGAGGGAAAAGUGAAGGGCCUGAGUAUUGUUCUUUCGAUUGAAGUUGUUGAACCUUGUGGUGUGCCCCGGGAACUGGCUUUCUUUCAGCAUCUUAAAUAAAGCUUUGAAUACUAUGCUAA